CUGGAAGAUUACCAGGUUGAUAGGUGGUAGGUGUAAGCGCGGUAACGUGUUGAGCCGAGCCAUACUAAUAGGUCGUGAGGCUUGACCACAUCACAUCA
RNAcentral lists this ribosomal RNA (98 nucleotides) under bacterium. RNAcentral's name for it is "partial 23S ribosomal RNA". It matches the Rfam family "Bacterial large subunit ribosomal RNA", at positions 2837 to 2925 of the family's 2925-position model. The record is from RNAcentral.